CUCUGCUAAAGGUGAUUUAAAUUAACCUGUUCUUCCUUGAUUUGCUGUGGAGCAAGGAGGUAUGUGUGUGCAGUUCAGCAAACACACUGCUCAUAUUAUCUCAAACUUUACAGAUUUACAUCUGAAUUUGGGCUACAACUUAGAGUUUAUCCAUCCAACAUCUACCUGUAGCCUAGUUAUUGGGUUACUGUGUCCCAAACACUGGAUUGUGCAUUUCUGCAAGACAGAGACCAGCGCCAAUAUUUGCAGGCACCUCAGCAUCCAUCUCUUUGGAGAAGGCAAGAGUGAAGGCUGAAAUUCAUGCCAAGCAAUGGAAGCCAGCAGGGAUACCUUCUGUAAUCAGCUUUCCAAAGAGCUGAGGAAAUGCCCCUCACUGCAGACUGAGGCAGAUUGCCUGGAAGUGGCUUGUACAGCCCUGUUUGCUUUUGCACUGGCUGGGGAGAUAAGUGCUCAUGGAACCAUGAAGGCAACACACAGCUGGACUUUCCUUUGGGGUAGGCACUGGGUGGAAGGUAGGAAAUUUGCUGGGGCAUGAGGCAGCCUGGGCUAAAUAUGCACAGUGGCCAUCACCUUUGUUAGAGUAAUUCUUGCUAGCAUGCAAAAAAUUGGCAGAGAAAAUAUCUAGGUGAUAGUUAUUUUAAAAUUAUUAUUAUUGUUAAAAUUAUUAUUAUUAUUGUGAUACAAUUUUCUUUACCAGUUUUUUUUUUUUUUUAAAAAAAAACACAUCACCAGCAAAAAGUCUCUUAAAGGACCUUUUAAUUAUUAGAAUAUUUUUUCAUAUAACUUUUCUUAGAAUAACAUGGAAAAUCAAGACAAUUGUGGUAAAAUAAGGGAUUGAUGACUUAUGCUUAUAAACAUACUAAUAAUUGGAAUCUGAUAAAAACCUCUUUGCCUUUCUUUAGACUUAUUUGUAGCAAUGCCUUCUGACAGAUUUGAGUAAAACUGAAUCCAAGCCAGAGAGCUGGGACCUUUGUUUUACUGGGCAAUUGCCUCUAAGACUUGGGAUGGUACAAGUAAGCUGAAGACUGUUUCCUUAAAGCCUUCUUAACUUUUGUAUACUAUGUUUACAUUCUCAUUAAAAUGGAUCAGCUUGUAUAUAGGACAGUAAGUGCUACCAGUUCCCUUAAUAAACUUCUGGUUUGUCCCA
RNAcentral lists this long non-coding RNA (1147 nucleotides) under Coturnix japonica (Japanese quail). RNAcentral's name for it is "lncRNA (ENSCJPG00005020361.1)". The record is from RNAcentral. Lineage: Eukaryota; Metazoa; Chordata; Aves; Galliformes; Phasianidae.